This 335-nucleotide ribosomal RNA is filed under the name uncultured bacterium. RNAcentral describes it as "bacterial SSU rRNA". It matches the Rfam family "Bacterial small subunit ribosomal RNA", at positions 8 to 349 of the family's 1533-position model. The record is from RNAcentral.
AGAGUUUGAUCCUGGCUCAGGACGAACGCUAGCGGCGUGCUUAACACAUGCAAGUCGAACGAAGGGUAGAAAUACCCUUAGUGGCGGACGGGUGAGUAACGCGUGAGCAAUCUGCCCUUGUCAGGGGAAUAACACAUAGAAAUGUGUGCUAAUACCGCAUGACGUUACGAAGUGGCAUCACUUUGUAACCAAAGAAUUAUCGGACAAGGAUGAGCUCGCGUCCCAUUAGGUAGUUGGUGAGGUAACGGCUCACCAAGCCGACGAUGGGUAGCCGACCUGAGAGGGUGAUCGGCCACAUUGGAACUGAGAGACGGUCCAGACUCCGUACGGGAGCA